This 424-nucleotide ribosomal RNA is filed under the name Fusobacteriota bacterium. RNAcentral describes it as "Fusobacteria bacterium partial 16S ribosomal RNA". It matches the Rfam family "Bacterial small subunit ribosomal RNA", at positions 355 to 776 of the family's 1533-position model. The record is from RNAcentral. Lineage: Bacteria; Fusobacteriati; Fusobacteriota.
UGAGGAAUAUUGGUCAAUGGGCGAGAGCCUGAACCAGCCAAGUAGCGUGCAGGAUGACGGCCCUAUGGGUUGUAAACUGCUUUUAUGUGGGGAUAAAGUGCGUGACGUGUCAUGCAUUGCAGGUACCACAUGAAUGAGGACCGGCUAAUUCCGUGCCAGCAGCCGCGGUAAUACGGAAGGGCCGGGCGUUAUCCGGAUUUAUUGGGUUUAAAGGGAGAGUAGGCUGUCUAUUAAGCGUGUUGUGAAAUUUACCGGCUCAACCGGUGGCUUGCAGCGCGAACUGGUCGACUUGAGUAUGCAGGAAGUAGGCGGAAUUCAUGGUGUAGCGGUGAAAUGCUUAGAUAUCAUGACGAACUCCGAUUGCGCAGGCAGCUUACUGUAGCAUAACUGACGCUGAUGCUCGAAAGUGCGGGUAUCAAACAGG